GCUGGAUUUGGUGGUGUGCACCUGUAGUCCCCGCUUUUAGGGAGGCUGAGGCAGAAGGAUCACUUGACUCCAGGAGUUCUGGUCUGUAGUUGUGGUAUACUGUGCCAAUCAGUUUCCACACUAAGUUUGGCAUCAAUAUGGUGACCUGUAGGGGGUGAAGGGGGAGCGCCAGGUUGCCUAAGGAGGGGUGAACCAGACCAGGUCCAGAACGGAGCAGGUCAAAACUCAUGUGCUGAUCAGUAGUGGGAUCACUCCUAUGAAUAGCUACUGCACUCCAGCCUAGGCAACAUAGUGAUACCCUAGCUCUU
Molecule: non-coding RNA, 308 nt
Organism: Otolemur garnettii (small-eared galago)
Lineage: Eukaryota; Metazoa; Chordata; Mammalia; Primates; Galagidae
Source: Rfam